This is an unclassified non-coding RNA of Erinaceus europaeus (western European hedgehog), 322 nucleotides long. Its record names the gene 7SK. It matches the Rfam family "7SK RNA". From Rfam's summary of the family: 7SK was discovered as an abundant small nuclear RNA in the mid-70s but a possible function has only recently been suggested. Two independent studies have found that 7SK RNA binds the CDK9/cyclin T complex (known as elongation factor P-TEFb). The record is from Ensembl. NCBI's taxonomy places the organism in Eukaryota, Metazoa, Chordata, Mammalia, Eulipotyphla, Erinaceidae.
AAAUGCGAGGGUAUCUACCUGCAACAUCUGUCACCCCAUUGAUUGCCAGGGUUGAUUCAGCUGAUCUGGCUGGCUAGGCAGGUGUCCCCUUCCUCCUUCACCACUACACAUGUGUCCCUCACUAAGCUGAUCACUCAGUUGAAGAGGACAGCCUACCGCAAAUAGAGAGGGUCUUUGGUCGAGGGUAAGAGUAGCUGCACUCCCCUGCUAGAACCUCCAAACAAGCUUUCAAGAAUAGCUCUUUAAUUUAUGCAUCCCUGAAAAUGCCAUUGUUUAUCUAAGAAUGUUUUUCUGCCUUGUUGAUGGAAAUUGGCAAAAGAAA